RNAcentral lists this ribosomal RNA (495 nucleotides) under uncultured bacterium. RNAcentral describes it as "partial 16S ribosomal RNA". It matches the Rfam family "Bacterial small subunit ribosomal RNA", at positions 30 to 507 of the family's 1533-position model. The record is from RNAcentral.
UGACCGCUGGCGGCGUGCCUAAUACAUGCAAGUCGAGCGACCAGACGAGGAGCUUGCUCCUCUGACGUUAGCGGCGGACGGGUGAGUAACACGUGGAUAACCUACCUAUAAGACUGGGAUAACUUCGGGAAACCGGAGCUAAUACCGGAUAAUAUAUUGAACCGCAUGGUUCAAUAGUGAAAGACGGUUUUGCUGUCACUUAUAGAUGGAUCCGCGCCGCAUUAGCUAGUUGGUAAGGUAACGGCUUACCAAGGCAACGAUGCGUAGCCGACCUGAGAGGGUGAUCGGCCACACUGGAACUGAGACACGGUCCAGACUCCUACGGGAGGCAGCAGUAGGGAAUCUUCCGCAAUGGGCGAAAGCCUGACGGAGCAACGCCGCGUGAGUGAUGAAGGUCUUCGGAUCGUAAAACUCUGUUAUUAGGGAAGAACAAAUGUGUAAGUAACUAUGCACGUCUUGACGGUACCUAAUCAGAAAGCCACGGCUAACUACGUG